AUGAGGAGGAGGAGGAGCAAAAUGGAAAGGAUACGCCCAGGGUUUAGAAAAAUUCAUGGAAUCAGAGGAAGAGAAACCAUGGGUCCUUCAGGGGAUAAAAGUCACUUCAUUGUGUUGGAAGCAACAGUAGGUUUAAGCUCUCAUCCGCCUACUCACUUAACAUCAGCGUGGACAGGGCAACACGAGCGCUGUGCCUCCUUCUCCCACAUAAAGUGCACCGAAGCCUUCUUUUCUUCUACAACAGUCUUUUGGUACAAAAGUUGUAGGAGAAAAUCACUGCUUUGUUCUUUGGGGGCACCUCACACCUCCUUCUCCUUUUGCUUUUGGGGCACCAUAGCUUGUCUAUUUCCAUCUCACACCUAG
Molecule: long non-coding RNA, 363 nt
Filed under: Capra hircus (goat)
Lineage: Eukaryota; Metazoa; Chordata; Mammalia; Artiodactyla; Bovidae
Description: lncRNA (ENSCHIG00010000787.1)
Source: RNAcentral